Molecule: long non-coding RNA, 573 nt
Organism: Bos taurus (domestic cattle)
Lineage: Eukaryota; Metazoa; Chordata; Mammalia; Artiodactyla; Bovidae
Source: Ensembl
GCUGACCGACGCCUCCCGGGGAGCCCGGAGCCGCCUUGAAUCUGGGAUCUGCGGAGAGAGCUUUCCAGAUCGCCCCUUGGCCGGUGGCAGAAGCCAGAGGCGAGUGACUGCAUGAUCAAUCCAGAUGGAAUUUUUGCUUUACCAAAAGCCACACCCAUGGUGUGUGGGAGGGAUGCUGGUGAAAGAGACUUCCUCAUACAAUCUGCUGUGCCCUCAUUUUUACCAGGGUUCUGUCAACACAGGAGAAAAGAACUAGGGGGAAAUACCUGUAGGAAAAUGGUUAUAUACUUGCUGUCAAGAAGACAUUACUGCAACCAAAGUCAAAGAAAGAUUCAUUGCAGGUGUGAGAGAAUGUUGGGAGGACUGAAGACUGUAAAAUGGGAGGAGAGAUGAAGAUGUGGACAGUUUUAUUUCCUGACGGUUGCUCUCCAUUCUAACUUGUGCCUCUCCAUAGCAAUGCAGGGCGACUGUCUUCCAGAUGAAAAUCUCUCGCACUCAGAGCUGAUGUCUCGUGUCCACAAAGGACCUCUGUACAUACUUAUGACAGCUGUUAUAUGCAUUUCUGAAUUAAUA